Molecule: long non-coding RNA, 608 nt
Filed under: Dasypus novemcinctus (nine-banded armadillo)
Lineage: Eukaryota; Metazoa; Chordata; Mammalia; Cingulata; Dasypodidae
Description: lncRNA (ENSDNOG00000050515.1)
Source: RNAcentral
GCCAUCAUGCUGUCCGCUGUCCCCUCUGCCCCACUAAUAAAGCUUCUGUGUUCUCUCCUCUCUAGGUAAGCAAUCCGCUGCUUUGCUGGGCCACGUAUCCCUGUCCAUGUGAGUUUCGCCCGCGAGAACAUGAUCUCUACACCGCAGCUUCUCUGCGGACACUAUGGGACGAUCCGGUGUAAAGGAGGACAGUCUUGCGACAAGACACUAACUGCUCAGGCUCAACUCAGCGGGGGAUGUUCCAAACUUUAUGCAAAGGUAGUGUCCCAAAGACCUGGAUGGAGGGAGGAGUGGGAGAGUGAAAUUAACACCGUCACCAACUGUGUCAUUUUGUUACUGGACUGUCAAAAGGGUGGUUCAAAAUGAAUCUGAAACACGCCAAUAAUGCUUUCCAUCUCGGCCUUUGCCCUUGCAGGGCAGCUCCACAGCAAGGAGCCACCUGGCCCCAAACGUCAGCGAUGCCUGUGGCUCCCAGUAUCACCGUUUGGACUCCAAUCAGCAGGAACAUGACGCAAAGCCGAGGGAGUGAAAGGCUGCCAGGGUGAGUCUCCUCUUCUGCUUUGCCUCUUGUGUUUCCAGAGAAGUCACACUGCAGGGGCCCAACCUUU